This 206-nucleotide small RNA is filed under the name Caballeronia telluris. Its description in RNAcentral is "Burkholderia sp. LMG 22936 Burkholderia sRNA Bp1_Cand738_SIPHT". It matches the Rfam family "Burkholderia sRNA Bp1_Cand738_SIPHT". Lineage: Bacteria; Pseudomonadati; Pseudomonadota; Betaproteobacteria; Burkholderiales; Burkholderiaceae. The record is from Rfam by way of RNAcentral.
CGAAAAACCGGCGAAGAAGAGCGCCGGCAAGAACAAUCAGCUACGAAUCGCAACACGCCUUUUGGGUGUCGCCGAUUCCUUGCACCUCAAAAAAGUUCUGAGGAAAGGUAAAAAGUUGCAAAGGCAACUUGUGAUGUUGAGCGAUUCUAGGCAGGGUUACAUGAUCCGUCAAUGCUAUAGACGGCUGUUUCAAUUACUUACAGUUA